GAUGAACGCUGGCGGCGUGCUUAACACAUGCAAGUCGAACGGAAAGGCCCAAGCUUGCUUGGGUGCUCGAGUGGCGAACGGGUGAGUAACACGUGGGUGAUCUGCCCUGCACUUUGGGUUAAGCCUGGGAAACUGGGUCUAAUACCGGAUAGGACCAUCGUUUAGUGUCGGUGGUGGAAAGUUUUUCGGUGUGGGAUGAGCUCGCGGCCUAUCAGCUUGUUGGUGGGGUAAUGGCCUACCAAGGCGUCGACGGGUAGCCGGCCUGAGAGGGUGUACGGCCACAUUGGGACUGAGAUACGGCCCAGACUCCUACGGGAGGCAGCAGUGGGGAAUAUUGCACAAUGGGCGCAAGCCUGAUGCAGCGACGCCGCGUGGGGGAUGACGGCCUUCGGGUUGUAAACUCCUUUCGCCAAGGACGAAGCGUUUUGUGACGGUACUUGGAGAAGAAGCACCGGCUAACUACGUG
Molecule: ribosomal RNA, 466 nt
Filed under: uncultured bacterium
Lineage: Bacteria
Description: partial 16S ribosomal RNA
Rfam family: Bacterial small subunit ribosomal RNA
Source: RNAcentral